Triticum aestivum (bread wheat) is the source of this 1775-nucleotide RNA transcript. It is a transcript of the gene named transcription factor bHLH63, with no coding region annotated. The transcript is spliced from 6 exons. The record is from RefSeq and is a predicted model, not a curated record. Lineage: Eukaryota; Viridiplantae; Streptophyta; Magnoliopsida; Poales; Poaceae.
AAUUCCAGGGAGCACAAAAGAGGGCCGAGGAGACAGGGACACGCAAGCUUCAGGCACAAGCCCUACGCCGCCUCGCCUCGCCUGGUUGCUUGCUUGUCUUCGAAGAUCCAUAGUUAGUUGCACUACACCAGAAGAAUCAACCAAAGCUUCGGCCCGACUUAAUCGCCAUCCCUUGUUGUUGUUGCGCCUCGAUCGAUCUUGGCGCGGUGGUGACUAAUGGCGCACUGCGGCGGCGGUCAGGCGGCGUCCGUGGAGAGCCAUUUCCAGGGCCUGCUCGACGACGACGACAAGUACCGCGCAUUGUGCGGCGCGUUCGGGUACCUGCAGCAGCAGGAGUGGCCGGACCUCAGCGGCGCUUGCUACGCGGCCUUCGGCGCGCCACCACCACCGGGCAGCAGCAACGGCGCCGGCAACUCCUUCUCCUGCAGCGGUAGCGCCAGCAGCGGCGACGGGUCCACGAAGAGAAAACCUGACGCGUAUGUGGACGCAAAGGACGACUGCAAGAGGCCGAGAGGGAAGCAGCAGCUGUGCGACCCUGGCGAGGCUGAAGGAGCGGCGAAAGGCAGGCCGGAGAAACCCAAGGCGUGCGCCAGGAAGAAGCCGGAGGCGGCGGCCACCGGCCAGAAGACCGACUACAUCCACGUCCGAGCCCGGCGCGGGCAGGCCACGGACAGCCACAGCCUCGCCGAACGGGUGAGGCGGGAGCGGAUCAGCGAGCGGAUGAGGUACCUGCAGGAGCUGGUGCCCGGGUGCGACAAGGUCACUGGCAAGGCCGGCAUGCUCGACGAGAUCAUUAACUACGUCCAGUCCCUGCAGAAGCAGGUCGAGUUCCUGUCCAUGAAGAUCGCCGCCUCCAACCCGGUGGUGAACUUCAACAUCGUCGACGACCUCUUCGGCGGCAGGCGGAUGAACCAGGCGUGCGGCCCCGCGGCGGCCCUGCCCGCCAUGACGUUGCCGAUGCACCAUGCGCAGCUGGACCCGUCCUGCCUUCAGAUGAGCAGCACUACCAUGCAGCAGAUGCAGCAGCCGGCUGCUGGGUUCGGGCUGGACAUGCUCCUCAACAACCCGUACCCGGCGGCGCAGAGCGCGUCCCGGUCGGCGGCUGCCACGCCGGUCUCGGUGUCGGCCGCCGCGUCGGUCGAGUCAUCCCUCGAUGUGAAUGGAGCUGCUGCUUGGGACAUUGCGUCUCAGCAUUUGUUCAGUGGGUUUGACGCACAGUUUCAGUCAGUUCAAAGUGAGUAGCUGCUUCUCUGAAGCAAAGCUUGCAGGGUUACCUUGUACUGAUAUUCUUGUGUGAAAGAACAUAGAUACAGAGUUAGCCAAGGAAAAAAUAAGAUGUUGUUACAGUUAAGAUGAGGCCAGUGGUCAUCACGUACCUGCUAUACUGACAGAAGGUUAAAGAAUCUCAUUACAGAACUCUGACAAAAAAAAUGCGUCAAACAGUAUUUAUCUUGUUUCAUUUGUACUCGACUAAAAAUGAGUGCAGAUUUGGAAGAUGCAUGUGUAUAGUCAGUUGAGCACAGGAAGCAUAUGUAAUGAACGCAUUGAAACUUGAGUGACUGUUUGCUAGACAACCUCAAAAUGGAAUUGUAAGCGGGAUUAAUUCUCAUCCCUGGAGUUUUAAGUGCAGCUAUACGUGCGGCUGAAGAUUCUUUAUUCAUAGCAACUGUACUAAUGCAGUAUUCUGUCAGCAAUUAAAACAAAGCACAUUUGUGUGUGAAGUUAUAUUCUUGUAUUGCUAAUGUACCAAAUCAUAAGCAAUCCGCAAUUCUUCA